Molecule: long non-coding RNA, 252 nt
Filed under: Ananas comosus (pineapple)
Lineage: Eukaryota; Viridiplantae; Streptophyta; Magnoliopsida; Poales; Bromeliaceae
Description: long non-coding RNA (ACOM_LNC029901)
Source: RNAcentral
AUUUAACCUAGUCAACGAUUCUUUAAUUUUAAAAAAUAUAAACUAAUCAAUUACUUUAAUUAAAUUUAUAGCUAUAAAAAUUACGUAAAAUACACUAACUAAACCUAUAAAGAUAAACAAUGUGCUCAAAUCGUGAAAUCAAAAUGUCGUUAACUAACUCAUAUUAAAUAAAUUAAAAAAUUAAAUAGUAAAAUUAAAAUUUUAAAAAUUUAGAUAAUCAAAUCAAAAUGGUCUAUAAUUCCAUCUUUCAUC